RNAcentral lists this unclassified non-coding RNA (401 nucleotides) under soil metagenome. Its description in RNAcentral is "partial contains 5.8S ribosomal RNA, internal transcribed spacer 2, and large subunit ribosomal RNA". The stretch from base 1 to 120 matches the Rfam family "5.8S ribosomal RNA", at positions 35 to 154 of the family's 154-position model. The record is from RNAcentral.
GAUGAAGAACGCAGCGAAAUGCGAUAAGUAAUGUGAAUUGCAGAAUUCAGUGAAUCAUCGAAUCUUUGAACGCACCUUGCACCCUUUGGCAUUCCGAAGGGCAUGCCUGUUUGAGUAUCGUGAACACCUCAACUCUCAUGGUCUGCCAUGAUGAGCUUGGACUUUGGGGGUCUUGCUGGCCUACUGUCAGCUCCUCUCAAAUGAAUCAGCUUACCAGUGUUUGGUGGCACCACAGGUGUGAUAACUAUCUACGCUUGUGGUUUUCUGCCAGGUAACCUCCAGUGAUGGAGGUUCGCUGGAGCUCACAAAUGUCUCUCCUCAGCGAGGACAGCUUUUUGAACGUUUGAUCUCAAAUCAGGUAGGACUACCCGCUGAACUUAAGCAUAUCAAUAAGCGGAGGA